GAUGAACGCUGGCGGCGUGCCUAAUACAUGCAAGUCGAACGCUGGAGCUCUAGCUUGCUAGAUCGAAGGAGUGGCGAACGGGUGAGUAAUACAUAAGCAACCUACCCACGAAGACUGGGAUAAUCUCUGGAAACGGGGACUAAUACCGGAUAGGUAAUCGGAAGGCAUCUUCUGGUUAUUAAAGGUUAAAAACACUGGUGGAUGGGCUUAUGGCGCAUUAGUUAGUUGGUGAGGUAACGGCCCACCAAGACGAUGAUGCGUAGCCGGCCUGAGAGGGUGAACGGCCAUAUUGGGACUGAGACACGGCCCAGACUCCUACGGGAGGCAGCAGUAGGGAAUUUUCGGCAAUGGGGGCAACCCUGACCGAGCAACGCCGCGUGAGUGAAGACGGCCUUCGGGGUGUAAAGCUCUGUUGUAAGGGAAGAACGGUAGAUAGAGAAUAUCUAAGUGACGGUACCUUACCAGAAAGCCACGGCUAACUACGUG
This 486-nucleotide ribosomal RNA is filed under the name uncultured bacterium. RNAcentral's name for it is "partial 16S ribosomal RNA". It matches the Rfam family "Bacterial small subunit ribosomal RNA", at positions 28 to 507 of the family's 1533-position model. The record is from RNAcentral.